GUAGUUAGCCGGGGCUUUCUUACAGGGUACCGUCACUUCUUCGUCCCCUGCGACAGAGGUUUACAAUCCGAAAACCUUCUUCCCUCACGCGGCGUUGCUGGGUCAGGCUUGCGCCCAUUGCCCAAUAUUCCCCACUGCUGCCUCCCGUAGGAGUCUGGACCGUGUCUCAGUUCCAGUGUGGCCGAUCAGCCUCUCAGCUCGGCUACCCAUCGCUGACUAGGUGGGCCGUUACCCCGCCUACUAUCUAAUGGGACGCGAGCCCCUCUCUCUGCGGAUUGCUCCUUUGACCUCUCUACCAUGCGGUAAUGUGGUCUUAUGCGGUAUUAGUACACCUUUCGGUGUGUUAUCCCCCUGUGAAGGACAGAUUGUUCACGCGUUACUCACCCGUCCGCCGCUAAUCAUCCGGGAGCAAGCUCCCAUCUGAUUCGCUCGACUUGCAUGUAUUAGGCACGCCGCCACGCGUUCGUCCUCGACGCCACUAAUACAAACCUACUACGUACGUACGAGCGGGCGUCGGCGAACGGACGCGAUA
RNAcentral lists this ribosomal RNA (532 nucleotides) under uncultured bacterium. Its description in RNAcentral is "partial 16S ribosomal RNA". The record is from RNAcentral.